RNAcentral lists this ribosomal RNA (526 nucleotides) under Colletotrichum gloeosporioides. RNAcentral describes it as "eukaryotic LSU rRNA". The stretch from base 151 to 304 matches the Rfam family "5.8S ribosomal RNA". Lineage: Eukaryota; Fungi; Ascomycota; Sordariomycetes; Glomerellales; Glomerellaceae. The record is from RNAcentral.
UUGGUGAACAUACCUAUAACUGUUGCUUCGGCGGGUAGGGUCUCCGUGACCCUCCCGGCCUCCCGCCCCCGGGCGGGUCGGCGCCCGCCGGAGGAUAACCAAACUCUGAUUUAACGACGUUUCUUCUGAGUGGUACAAGCAAAUAAUCAAAACUUUUAACAACGGAUCUCUUGGUUCUGGCAUCGAUGAAGAACGCAGCGAAAUGCGAUAAGUAAUGUGAAUUGCAGAAUUCAGUGAAUCAUCGAAUCUUUGAACGCACAUUGCGCCCGCCAGCAUUCUGGCGGGCAUGCCUGUUCGAGCGUCAUUUCAACCCUCAAGCUCUGCUUGGUGUUGGGGCCCUACAGCUGAUGUAGGCCCUCAAAGGUAGUGGCGGACCCUCCCGGAGCCUCCUUUGCGUAGUAACUUUACGUCUCGCACUGGGAUCCGGAGGGACUCUUGCCGUAAAACCCCCCAAUUUUCCAAAGGUUGACCUCGGAUCAGGUAGGAAUACCCGCUGAACUUAAGCAUAUCAAUAAGCCCGGAGGAA